RNAcentral lists this ribosomal RNA (492 nucleotides) under uncultured bacterium. Its description in RNAcentral is "partial 16S ribosomal RNA". It matches the Rfam family "Bacterial small subunit ribosomal RNA", at positions 29 to 507 of the family's 1533-position model. The record is from RNAcentral.
AGUGAACGCUGGCGGUAGGCCUAACACAUGCAAGUCGAACGGCAGCACAGUAAGAGCUUGCUCUUACGGGUGGCGAGUGGCGGACGGGUGAGGAAUACAUCGGAAUCUACUUUUUCGUGGGGGAUAACGUAGGGAAACUUACGCUAAUACCGCAUACGACCUACGGGUGAAAGCAGGGGAUCUUCGGACCUUGCGCGAUUGAAUGAGCCGAUGUCGGAUUAGCUAGUUGGCGGGGUAAAGGCCCACCAAGGCGACGAUCCGUAGCUGGUCUGAGUGGAUGACGGUCGAGCUUGGAACUAGGACGCGGUCCAGACUCCUAUGGGAGGCACCAGUGUGGAAUAGUGGGAAAUGUUCGCAAGUGUGAUCCAAUGGGACCGAGUAGGAGAAGAACACGUUCGGGUGGUAACGCCAUUGAUUGGGGUGAAAAAAGCCGCAGAGUGAUACCAAGUUGUAGUGACGGUAUGCGAAGAAUAAGCAACGGCUAACUUCGUG